RNAcentral lists this unclassified non-coding RNA (690 nucleotides) under Hevea brasiliensis (rubber tree). The record is from RNAcentral. Lineage: Eukaryota; Viridiplantae; Streptophyta; Magnoliopsida; Malpighiales; Euphorbiaceae.
UGUGGCACUUUGUUUGAAAAGGUAAUGUUUUUGAUUUAUGAUUAUGUUAUAUUUCAACACUAGUAAUAGUAGCAAAGCUUUCCUCAAGUCUUUCUUAUAAGUUUCUGUUUAUAAUUGGGAUUGGGAUCAUAGAGGUGGAUAUAUAACUGUAGAUAUUCAGACUCAUCUAUCAAAAAGGCAUCAUGAUGGUGAAUUUGUUGCCACUUUGGAUCUGUUAAGAGGAAACCAGAAGGUUGUUCCAUUAGAUGGAAACCUGUUUAUACCCCAGGCCUGGUCAAAUUAGCAAUUCCCAAAAUCUGUAGUAAUUAUCGAAAUACAACUGUUGAUGCAGCAAGCAGAAAAGCAGGGGAAUGCUGUUUUGUGGAUGAACCAACAAAAGGUUAAUACAUUUGACGUUAUAGGCAAGGUUCAUACAUUUAAUGUUGUGGCCUAUAUUAAGCUUUGAUAGAACAUGAUUAUAUACUAGCUCUUGGUUGGAUUGUUUCUUUAAUUGCUUGCUUGCAUGCUUUCUUUCGGAAUUUAGGCCAAUUCUUUUAUGCGCUUAUCGAUUACUUAGAGCUCUACCUCUUUUGGCUUGCAAAUAUGCUUUCAUAAUCUGAUAGUUGAAGUAUACCAAACACAUGCUGUCAGAUUAAUUUACAAAAUCAUCCUGCUGGCCGAUUAGGUGAAUUAUGCUGACCUAAGUAUUUG